GAUGAACGCUGGCGGCGUGCUUAACACAUGCAAGUCGAACGGACCAUAUUCGUAUGGUUAGUGGCAGACGGGUGCGUAACACGUGGGUGACCUGCCCUCAAGUGGGGAACAACUCCGCUAACGCGGAGCUAAUACCGCAUAUGUUCGCUUUUUCAGUAAGGCGAGUAAAGCAGUAAUGCGCUUGGGGAUGGGCCUGCGGCGGAUUAGCUAGUUGGUGGGGUAACGGCCUACCAAGGCGAUGAUCCGUAGGGGGCGUGAGAGCGUGGCCCCCCACACUGGCACUGAGACACGGGCCAGACUCCUACGGGAGGCAGCAGUGAGGAAUAUUGCACAAUGGGCGAAAGCCUGAUGCAGCAACGCCGCGUGAGGGACGAAGGCCUUCGGGUCGUAAACCUCUUUUCUGGGGGACGAGUAAGGACGGUACCUCAGGAAUAAGUCUCGGCUAACUACGUGCCAGCAGCCGCGGUAAAACGUAGGAGGCGAGCGUUAUCCGGAUUUACUGGGCGUAAAGCGUACGCAGGUGGCUUCGUGAGUCGGACAUGAAAGCUCCCGGCUUAACUGGGAGAGGUUGUUCGAUACUGCGGAGCUUGAGGUUGGGAGAGGGACGUGGAAUUCCCGGUGUAGUGGUGGAAUGCGUAGAUAUCGGGAGGAACACCAGUGGCGCAAGCGGCGUCCUGGCCCACACCUGACGCUGAGGUACGAAAGCGUGGGUAGCAAACAGGAUUAGAUACCCUGGUAGUCCACGCUGUAAACGAUGUCAACUGGGUGUCGGUAGUUUUACACUAUCGGUGCCGAAGCCAACGCGUUAAGUUGACCGCCUGGGGACUACGGCCGCAAGGCUA
RNAcentral lists this ribosomal RNA (842 nucleotides) under uncultured bacterium. RNAcentral describes it as "bacterial SSU rRNA". It matches the Rfam family "Bacterial small subunit ribosomal RNA", at positions 28 to 896 of the family's 1533-position model. The record is from RNAcentral.